RNAcentral lists this ribosomal RNA (301 nucleotides) under uncultured bacterium. RNAcentral's name for it is "partial 16S ribosomal RNA". It matches the Rfam family "Bacterial small subunit ribosomal RNA", at positions 509 to 807 of the family's 1533-position model. The record is from RNAcentral.
CAGCCGCCACGGGAAUACAGAGGGUGCGAGCGUUAAUCGGAUUUACUGGGCGUAAAGCGUGCGUAGGCGGCUUUUUAAGUCGGAUGUGAAAUCCCUGAGCUUAACUUAGGAAUUGCAUUCGAUACUGGGAAGCUAGAGUAUGGGAGAGGAUGGUAGAAUUCCAGGUGUAGCGGUGAAAUGCGUAGAGAUCUGGAGGAAUACCGAUGGCGAAGGCAGCCAUCUGGCCUAACACUGACGCUGAGGUACGAAAGCAUGGGGAGCAAACAGGAUUAGAUACCCGGGUAGUCCCUGUCUCUUAUAC